This 304-nucleotide ribosomal RNA is filed under the name uncultured bacterium. RNAcentral describes it as "partial 16S ribosomal RNA". It matches the Rfam family "Bacterial small subunit ribosomal RNA", at positions 506 to 807 of the family's 1533-position model. The record is from RNAcentral.
CAGCAGCCGCCGCGGUAAUACGAAGGGGGCUAGCGUUGUUCGGAUUUACUGGGCGUAAAGCGCACGUAGGCGGAUCCUUAAGUCAGAGGUGAAAUCCCAAGGCUCAACCUUGGAACUGCCUUUGAUACUGGGGAUCUCGAGUUCGGGAGAGGUGAGUGGAACUGCGAGUGUAGAGGUGAAAUUCGUAGAUAUUCGCAAGAACACCAGUGGCGAAGGCGGCUCACUGGCCCGAUACUGACGCUGAGGUGCGAAAGCGUGGGGAGCAAACAGGAUUAGAUACCCCGGUAGUCCCUGUCUCUUAUAC